Hermetia illucens (black soldier fly) is the source of this 1050-nucleotide long non-coding RNA. RefSeq lists it as uncharacterized. The transcript is spliced from 5 exons. The record is from RefSeq and is a predicted model, not a curated record. NCBI's taxonomy places the organism in Eukaryota, Metazoa, Arthropoda, Insecta, Diptera, Stratiomyidae.
CAGUCAUAUCAUAUUUGACAAGGAAACAGUCUGGCGGCUACGAAUUUCUAAGCAAACACCUCCCAUUCAGCAACUAUUCAAACAUCGAAUUAAGUAAUAUCAAAAAAAGACCACGGUAUUGGAAAAAAGGGAUCAGGUAAAUUAUGCAAUUAAGAAUCUUGCAGUCGAAACAAACGAGCAAGAAACUCAGGAAAGAAAGAAAUGAACGUUUUGAUGAUAGAAGUGACCUACUAGAUCGAAAUCGGUGACAAGUUCUACAGAGAGAAGAAAGCAACUGCAGAAAUGACGACAGGAAAUACGUUAGAUGUAUAAUUUCAAGUCCACUUUCAAAUUGACGAAGAGCGGGAAUUGUUGGCCGGGAUGUGGACAAUGAACCACAAUGGAGGACCGACCAUCGAAAUCUGUGAUUUUCACGCCUAUAACGGCCCAUUCAGGGUGGACGAUGUAUGGUGAAUUCGGCGCCACGGAUAUUUGUAUGUUUUAUGCGACAAACCAGAAGCCGCCACUUAUACUAACAUGGACAAGCUUUUAUGGACAGACCAUGCAUGAUAGAACAGAGCCUAGUCAAAGGCAAUUGUGAUUUGCCAAAGACCGACUUCUACUGAAGCACAAUUGAAAGAAGAAGAAGAAACGAUACAAGGCGCACCGGAUGAAAUUUGAACAGAAGCUAGAGAAUGUUGCAACGAACAAAAAAAACCACCCAUUCUCUGCCUCAAAAGAAUUAACCGAAAAUUGGGUGCAAUGAUUACAAAAAAUCCUAGGCUGCUCUUGCUGAUGUGAACGGUGUUGUUGGCAUUCGGCAGUUCCAAAGCCUUACAUAGAUGGAUGCUUUUCUGUUGCUUGCACCAGUCCGUUAGAGUUAAAAUUUGGAUGUAUUCCCCGCCAUUGCUAUAGAAUACAUUAUCCCCAAAGUAAGAUUACAGUGUGGGUAAUACAUAGAUUCAACAAAGGCAAAUUGAACACAAGAACAAAGAUUAUAUCCAAAGCCAAAGCCCCCAUUGCCGAGAACAUCAGAAUCUGAAGACUAUGUACAGUGGCUGUCAUAAAUAA